GCCUGGUUGGCUCAGUUGGUGGAGCAAGAGACUCUUGAUCUCAGGGUCAUGGGUUCAAGCCCCAUGUUGGGUG
RNAcentral lists this transfer RNA (73 nucleotides) under Canis lupus familiaris (dog). It matches the Rfam family "tRNA". From Rfam's summary of the family: Transfer RNA (tRNA) molecules are approximately 80 nucleotides in length. Their secondary structure includes four short double-helical elements and three loops (D, anti-codon, and T loops). Further hydrogen bonds mediate the characteristic L-shaped molecular structure. tRNAs have two regions of fundamental functional importance: the anti-codon, which is responsible for specific mRNA codon recognition, and the 3' end, to which the tRNAs corresponding amino acid is attached (by aminoacyl-tRNA synthetases). tRNAs cope with the degeneracy of the genetic code in two manners: having more than one tRNA (with a specific anti-codon) for a particular amino acid; and 'wobble' base-pairing, i.e. permitting non-standard base-pairing at the 3rd anti-codon position. The record is from Rfam by way of RNAcentral. Lineage: Eukaryota; Metazoa; Chordata; Mammalia; Carnivora; Canidae.